This 277-nucleotide unclassified non-coding RNA is filed under the name uncultured fungus. RNAcentral describes it as "partial contains small subunit ribosomal RNA, internal transcribed spacer 1, and 5.8S ribosomal RNA". The stretch from base 1 to 73 matches the Rfam family "Eukaryotic small subunit ribosomal RNA", at positions 1759 to 1831 of the family's 1831-position model. Lineage: Eukaryota; Fungi. The record is from RNAcentral.
ACAAACUUGGUCAUUUAGAGGAAGUAAAAGUCGUAACAAGGUCUCCGUUGGUGAACCAGCGGAGGGAUCAUUACCGAGUUUACAACUCCCAAACCCCUGUGAACAUACCUAUCGUUGCUUCGGCGGGAUCGCCCCGGCGCCUUCGGGCCCGGACCCAGGCGCCCGCCGGAGGACCCAAACCCUAGUAUUAUUUUGAGUAUCUUCUGAGUAAACAAGCAAAUAAAUCAAAACUUUCAACAACGGAUCUCUUGGUUCUGGCAUCGAUGAAGAACGCAGC